RNAcentral lists this ribosomal RNA (546 nucleotides) under uncultured Glomeromycotina. Its description in RNAcentral is "SSU rRNA". It matches the Rfam family "Eukaryotic small subunit ribosomal RNA", at positions 548 to 1098 of the family's 1831-position model. The record is from RNAcentral. Lineage: Eukaryota; Fungi; Glomeromycota.
UUGGAGGGCAAGUCUGGUGCCAGCAGCCGCGGUAAUUCCAGCUCCUAUAGCGUAUAUUAAAGUUGUUGCAGUUAAAAAGCUCGUAGUUGAAUUUCGGGAUUAGUACGCUGGUCGUGCCUUCGGUACGUACUGGUGUUACUGAUUUCUACCUUCUGACGAACCAUCAUGUCAUUAAUUUGGUGUGGUGGGGAAUCAGGACUGUUACUUUGAAAAAAUUAGAGUGUUUAAAGCAGGCUCGCGCUUGAAUACAUUAGCAUGGAAUAAUGAAAUAGGACGUUGAUCCUAUUUUGUUGGUUUCUAGGAUUGACGUAAUGAUUAAUAGGGAUAGUUGGGGGCAUUAGUAUUCAAUUGUCAGAGGUGAAAUUCUUGGAUUUAUUGAAGACUAACUACUGCGAAAGCAUUUGCCAAGGAUGUUUUCAUUAAUCAAGAACGAAAGUUAGGGGAUCGAAGACGAUCAGAUACCGUCGUAGUCUUAACCAUAAACUAUGCCGACUAGGGAUCGGAUGAUGUUAUUUUUAAUGACUCAUUCGGCGCCUUACGGGAAAC